UGGGCUAUAGCUCAGUGGCUUAGAGCGUGCGAUUGCAAAUCGCGAGGUCCCCGGUUCGAUCCUGGGUAGUCCCU
This is a non-coding RNA of Hyaloraphidium curvatum, 74 nucleotides long. Lineage: Eukaryota; Fungi; Monoblepharomycota; Hyaloraphidiomycetes; Hyaloraphidiales; Hyaloraphidiaceae. The record is from the annotation of a GenBank genome assembly.